RNAcentral lists this ribosomal RNA (459 nucleotides) under uncultured bacterium. RNAcentral's name for it is "partial 16S ribosomal RNA". It matches the Rfam family "Bacterial small subunit ribosomal RNA", at positions 338 to 795 of the family's 1533-position model. The record is from RNAcentral.
CCUACGGGGGGCUGCAGUGAGGAAUAUUGGUCAAUGGGCGGGAGCCUGAACCAGCCAAGCCGCGUGAGGGAAGAAGGUACAGCGUAUCGUAAACCUCUUUUGUCAGGGAACAAAGGCGGGGACGAGUCCCUGGAUGAGGGUACCUGAAGAAAAAGCAUCGGCUAACUCCGUGCCAGCAGCCGCGGUAAUACGGAGGAUUCGAGCUUUAUCGGGAUUUAUUGGGUUUAAAGGGUGCGCAGGCGGCCUGUUAAGUCAGCGGUAAAAGCCCGGGGCUCAACCCCGGCGAGCCGUUGAAACUGGCGGGCUGGAGUUGGAGAGAAGUACGCGGAAUGCGCGGUGUAGCGGUGAAAUGCUUAGAUAUCGCGCAGAACCCCGAUUGCGAAGGCAGCGUACCGGCUCCACACUGACGCUGAGGCACGAAAGCGUGGGUAGCGAACAGGAUUAGAUACCCCAGUAGUC